GAUCAUGGUCAGGAUGAACGCUAGCUACAGGCUUAACACAUGCAAGUCGAGGGGAAACGACAUCGAAAGCUUGCUUUUGAUGGGCGUCGACCGGCGCACGGGUGAGUAACGCGUAUCCAACCUGCCCAUCACUUGGGAAUAACCUUGCGAAAGUAGACUAAUGCCCAAUGAUAUCUCUAGAAGACAUCUGAAAGAGAUUAAAGNUUCAUCGGUGAUGGAUGGGGAUGCG
This 229-nucleotide ribosomal RNA is filed under the name uncultured bacterium. Its description in RNAcentral is "partial 16S ribosomal RNA". It matches the Rfam family "Bacterial small subunit ribosomal RNA", at positions 15 to 235 of the family's 1533-position model. The record is from RNAcentral.